CCUACGGGUGGCAGCAGUAGGGAAUCUUGCUCAAUGGGGGAAACCCUGAAGCAGCAACGCCGCGUGGAGGAUGAAGGUUUUAGGAUUGUAAACUCCUUUUGUUAGAGAAGAUUAUGACGGUAUGUAACGAAUAAGCACCGGCUAACGACUUGCCAGCAGCCGAGGUAAUACGGAGGGUGAAAGCGUUACUCGGAAUCAAUGGGCGUAAAGAGUGCGUAGGCGGGGUAAUAAGUCAGAUGUGAAAGCCUGUAGCUUAACUACAGAACUGCAUUUGAAACUGGUACUCUGGAGUGUGGGAGAGGAAGGUGGAACUCUUGGUGUAGGGGUAAAAUGCGUAGAGAUAAAGAGGAAUACUAGUUGCGAAAGCGACCUGCUGGAACAUUACUGACGCUGAGGCACGAAAGCGUGGGGAGCAAACAGGAUUAGAUACCCGUGUAGUC
Molecule: ribosomal RNA, 440 nt
Filed under: uncultured bacterium
Lineage: Bacteria
Description: partial 16S ribosomal RNA
Rfam family: Bacterial small subunit ribosomal RNA
Source: RNAcentral